GACGGUCUAUAAAGUACGGAAAUUUCUUAGCAGAGCACAGCUGGAAAGCUGGACCACAGGGGGUAAUAGUCCCGUAUGCGAAAAGAAACGACCAGAACUGACCGAUCCAGAGUACCACGAGACACGUGAAACCUUGUGGGAAGCAGGGGGGACCACCCCCCAAGGCUAAAUACUACCUGAUGACCGAUAGUGAAGCAGUACCGUGAGGGAAAGGUGAAAAGAACCCCGGGAGGGGAGUGAAAUAGAACCUGAAACCGUGCACUUACAAACGGCUAAAGCACUAUUAUAAAGUGUGAUAGCGUGCUUUUUGUAGAACGAGCCAACGAGUUACGAUAUGCAGCAAGGUUAAGUACUUAAGGUACGGAGCCGAAGGGAAACCGAGUCUUAAUAGGGCAACAAGUUGCAUGUCGUAGACCCGAAACCGGGUGACCUAUCCAUGGCCAGGUUGAAGCGAGAGUAAAAUCUCGUGGAGGACCGAACCAAAUUGAUGUUGAAAAAUCAUGGGAUGAGCUGUGGAUAGCGGAGAAAUUCCAAUCGAACUCGGAGAUAGCUGGUUCUCCUCGAAAUAGCUUUAGGGCUAGCGUCGGAUAUAUGAGUUAUGGAGGUAGAGCACUGAAUGGGCUAGGGGGCAUAUCGCUUACCGAACCUUAUCAAACUCCGAAUGCCAUAUACUAUUAGUCCGGCAGUCAGACUGUGUAAGAUAAGUUUCAUAGUCGAAAGGGAAAAAGCCCAGACCGUCAGCUAAGGUCCCCAAGUAUAGGUUAAGUGGAAAAGGAUGUGGGAUUUCUAAGACAACUAGGAUGUUGGCUUAGAAGCAGCCACUCAUUAAAAGAGUGCGUAAUAGCUCACUAGUCGAGAGAUCCCGCGCCGAAAAUGUCCGGGGCUAAAACCUAUCACCGAAGCUACGGGUGGCACCUUCAUGGUGCCGCGGUAGAGGAGCGUUCUGUACUGGCUGAAGCCAUACCGUAAGGAGUGGUGGACGGUACAGAAGUGAGAAUGUUGGCAUAAGUAGCGAGAUGCGGGUGAGAAUCCCGCAGGUCGAAAAUCUAAGGUUUCCUGAGGAAGGUUCGUCCGCUCAGGGUUAGUCGGGUCCUAAGCCGAGGCCGAGAGGCGUAGGUGAUGGACAAUCGGUUGAUAUUCCGAUACCACUAUGAAGCGUUUGACCGAAGGGGUGACGCAGGAGGAUAAGAUGUGCGUACGAUUGGAUUGUACGUCCAAGCACUGAGAGAGAGCAGGGAGGCAAAUCCCUCUGCUUGUUAAUCUCAAGGUGUGAUGGGGAG
RNAcentral lists this ribosomal RNA (1280 nucleotides) under Proteiniclasticum ruminis. Its description in RNAcentral is "bacterial LSU rRNA". It matches the Rfam family "Bacterial large subunit ribosomal RNA", at positions 304 to 1573 of the family's 2925-position model. The record is from RNAcentral. Lineage: Bacteria; Bacillati; Bacillota; Clostridia; Eubacteriales; Clostridiaceae.